CCCGCGCAGGGGUGUCCACGCGGGGCCCGAGCACGCCCGGCCCGCGGGCUUCCCGAGGAGGGCUGCCCCUAAGGAGGAGGGCCGGAGGGCCGGGCGGGCUCCCCGGGCGGCAAAGGCCCCACAUCCCUAGGGGUGCGGUGCUCGCGGUGACCCGGUGGCGCUGCCCGGGCCAGCCCAGCAGCCAGCAGCCAGGGAGGCAGGCCCGGUGGCACUGUGCCCGGCCGUGAGGACCUGGCUGCCACCGAGACAUGCGUGCCAGCCGCCGGAGCGCCCUCGUGGAGGCGCAGGCCAGGUACCCGGUCAUUCACUUUGGGAGUCCUAUGAGUGACAUCUCAGAAAGCACCAUCCCAGGCGGAGGAAGCUGGCUGUACAGAACCGACAGGAGGCGACCGAGUAACCAGAGCCCAAGGCUGCGCCUCAGAGGCGGCCGGGUGUGCAGGCUUUCGCUGGUUUGCACAAAAGCACCCGUAGGACUGUGUCUGACCAGAGGCGGGAGCUUUUCCAGUUCUCAUCAAGUCCUCCUAGGUCGCAGGAAAGCCCUGAAACACACGUCCUUGUGCUCCCACCCGUCCCGGAACGAUCUUCCCACCUCUCUGCAUGGAGAGUGCAGGUGGGAUCUGGGGGCACCCAGCAACGCCUGGCUUCGCCAGAGGCUCUUCUGCCCCGUCCUUCCUGGGGUGCUCCUGAUGGAUCCGCAUGCACAGGGCCAGAGGCAAACAGCGGAGUGCCCGCCGUCCACUUCGGCCUGGGAAUUCCAGGAUCCCUCUGAGCCAACCGCCAGGGCUCCCCAGAGGUCGGAGCGGGAGGACGAGAAAGCCAGGCUCCCGGGCUCCGCUCCCUCGUGCCAUCCUCAGGCCUGGACGGCCCCGGGAAGGCCACGCUGGGCAAAGGGCCCCUGUCACUCGGGAGCUGCCCCUGGCCGACGCGCUGACCCACAGCCCUGGAUCCCGACCAAGCGGUCAGCAGCAGCUCCGGGAGCCAAGCCAGGAGGGGUGGGGCCACUUUCUGUCCCCUGCAGGAACACGGUCUCGUUUGAUCCUCACGGUCUCCCUCUGUACAGGGGAGGAAACUGA
This 1073-nucleotide long non-coding RNA is filed under the name Chinchilla lanigera (long-tailed chinchilla). RNAcentral's name for it is "lncRNA (ENSCLAG00000026745.1)". Lineage: Eukaryota; Metazoa; Chordata; Mammalia; Rodentia; Chinchillidae. The record is from RNAcentral.